GAUCAUGGCUCAGGACGAACGCUGGCGGCGUGCCUAACACAUGCAAGUCGAGCGAGGAGAUCCUCGGGAUGAUCCUAGCGGCGGACGGGUGAGUAACACGUGGGCAACCUGCCUCAUAGAGAGGAAUAGCCUUCCGAAAGGGAGAUUAAUACCUCAUAACAUUGCAGUUUCGCAUGGAACAGCAAUUAAAGGAGCAAUCCGCUAUGAGAUGGGCCCGCGGCGCAUUAGCUAGUUGGUGAGGUAACGGCUCACCAAGGCGACGAUGCGUAGCCGACCUGAGAGGGUGAUCGGCCACAUUGGGACUGAGACACGGCCCAGACUCCUACGGGAGGCAGCAGUGGGGAAUAUUGCACAAUGGGGGAAACCCUGAUGCAAGCAACGCCGCGUGAGUGAUGACGGCCUUCGGGUUGUAAAGCUCUGUCUUCAGGGACGAUAAUGACGGUACCUGAGGAGGAAGCCACGGCUAACUACGUGCCAGCCGCAGC
RNAcentral lists this ribosomal RNA (485 nucleotides) under uncultured bacterium. RNAcentral's name for it is "bacterial SSU rRNA". It matches the Rfam family "Bacterial small subunit ribosomal RNA", at positions 15 to 518 of the family's 1533-position model. The record is from RNAcentral.